RNAcentral lists this ribosomal RNA (208 nucleotides) under Ilyonectria sp. RNAcentral describes it as "partial large subunit ribosomal RNA". The record is from RNAcentral. Lineage: Eukaryota; Fungi; Ascomycota; Sordariomycetes; Hypocreales; Nectriaceae.
AAGCGCUCAUGACCAGACUUGGGCUUGGUUGAUCAUCCAGGGUUCUCCCUGGUGCACUCUUCCAGCCCAGGCCAGCAUCAGUUCGCUGUGGGGGAUAAAGGCUUUGGGAAUGUGGCUCCUCCGGGAGUGUUAUAGCCUGUUGCAUAAUACCCUUCGGCGGGCUGAGGUACGCGCUCCGCAAGGAUGCUGGCGUAAUGGUCAUCAGCGA